UACGUAGGUGGCAAGCGUUGUCCGGAUUUAUUGGGGUUAAAGGGUGCGUAGGCGGUCCUAUAAGUCAGUUGUGAAAUACGGCAGCUUAACUGUCGAGGUGCAAUUGAUACUGCAGGACUUGAGUACAGACGAGGUAGGCGGAAUUGACGGUGUAGCGGUGAAAUGCUUAGAUAUCGUCAAGAACACCGAUAGCGAAGGCAGCUUACUAGACUGUAACUGACGCUGAUGCACGAAAGUGUGGGGAUCAAACAGG
Molecule: ribosomal RNA, 253 nt
Filed under: uncultured bacterium
Lineage: Bacteria
Description: partial 16S ribosomal RNA
Rfam family: Bacterial small subunit ribosomal RNA
Source: RNAcentral